Molecule: ribosomal RNA, 632 nt
Filed under: Bacillariophyta sp. 1 MAB-2013
Lineage: Eukaryota; Bacillariophyta
Description: SSU rRNA
Rfam family: Bacterial small subunit ribosomal RNA
Source: RNAcentral
GCGUGAGAAUUUGCCUCUAGGAGGGGGACAACAACUAGAAAUGGUUGCUAAUACCCCAUAUGCUUUCGAGUGAAAUGGAUUUUUCCGCCUAGAGAGAAGCUUGCGGCUGAUUAGCUUGUUGGUGAGGUAAUGGCUCACCAAGGCGACGAUCAGUAUCUGGUUUGAGAGGACGAUCAGACACACUGGAACUGAGACACGGUCCAGACUCCUACGGGAGGCAGCAGUGGGGAAUUUUCCGCAAUGGGCGAAAGCCUGACGGAGCAAUACUGCGUGAGGGAUGACGGCCUAUGGGUUGUAAACCUCUUUUAUCAGGGAGGAAUCAAUGACGUGUACCUGAUGAAUAAGCAUCGGCUAACUCCGUGCCAGCAGCCGCGGUAAGACGGAGGAUGCAAGUGUUAUCCGGAAUCACUGGGCGUAAAGCGUCUGUAGGUGGUCCAAUAAGUCAACUGUUAAAUCUUGAGGCUCAACCUCAAAACCGCAGUCGAAACUAUUAGACUAGAGUAUAGUAGGGGUAAAGGGAAUUUCCAGUGGAGCGGUGAAAUGCGUAGAGAUUGGAAAGAACACCGAUGGCGAAGGCACUUUACUGGGCUAUUACUAACACUCAGAGACGAAAGCUAGGGUAGCAAAUGGGA